RNAcentral lists this ribosomal RNA (468 nucleotides) under uncultured bacterium. RNAcentral describes it as "partial 16S ribosomal RNA". It matches the Rfam family "Bacterial small subunit ribosomal RNA", at positions 28 to 507 of the family's 1533-position model. The record is from RNAcentral.
GACGAACGCUGGCGGCGUGCUUAACACAUGCAAGUCGAACGGAAAGGCCCUGCUUUUGUGGGGUGCUCGAGUGGCGAACGGGUGAGUAACACGUGAGUAACCUGCCCUUGACUUUGGGAUAACUUCAGGAAACUGGGGCUAAUACCGGAUAGGAGCUCCUGCCGCAUGGUGGGGGUUGGAAAGUUUCGGCGGUUGGGGAUGGACUCGCGGCUUAUCAGCUUGUUGGUGGGGUAGUGGCUUACCAAGGCUUUGACGGGUAGCCGGCCUGAGAGGGUGACCGGCCACAUUGGGACUGAGAUACGGCCCAGACUCCUACGGGAGGCAGCAGUGGGGAAUAUUGCACAAUGGGCGGAAGCCUGAUGCAGCAACGCCGCGUGCGGGAUGACGGCCUUCGGGUUGUAAACCGCUUUCGCCUGUGACGAAGCGUGAGUGAUGGUAAUGGGUAAAGAAGCACCGGCUAACUACGUG